GACGAACGCUGGCGGCGUGCUUAACACAUGCAAGUCGAACGGAAAGGCCCUGCUUUUGUGGGGUGCUCGAGUGGCGAACGGGCGAGUAACACGUGAGUAACCUGCCCUUGACUUUGGGAUAACUUCAGGAAACUGGGGCUAAUACCGGAUAGGGGCUCCUGCUGCAUGGUGGGGGUUGGAAAGUUUCGGCGGUUGGGGAUGGACUCGCGGCUUAUCAGCUUGUUGGUGGGGUAGUGGCUUACCAAGGCUUUGACGGGUAGCCGGCCUGAGAGGGUGACCGGCCACAUGGGGAUUGAUAUACGGCCCAGCCUCCGACGGGGGGCAGCGGGGGGGAUUAUUGCACAAGGGGGGGAGGCUGUAGGCAGCACCGCCGGGUGCGGGAUGCCGGCCUUCGGUUGGUAACCCCCUUCCGCCUGUGACGAAGGGGGAGGGAGGGUAAUGGGUAAAGAACCCCCGGCUAACUACGUG
This 468-nucleotide ribosomal RNA is filed under the name uncultured bacterium. RNAcentral describes it as "partial 16S ribosomal RNA". It matches the Rfam family "Bacterial small subunit ribosomal RNA", at positions 28 to 507 of the family's 1533-position model. The record is from RNAcentral.